RNAcentral lists this unclassified non-coding RNA (346 nucleotides) under uncultured fungus. RNAcentral's name for it is "partial contains 5.8S ribosomal RNA, internal transcribed spacer 2, and large subunit ribosomal RNA". The stretch from base 1 to 52 matches the Rfam family "5.8S ribosomal RNA", at positions 103 to 154 of the family's 154-position model. The record is from RNAcentral. Lineage: Eukaryota; Fungi.
AACGCACCUUGCGCUCCUUGGUAUUCCGAGGAGCAUGCCUGUUUGAGUGUCAUGAAUAUCUCAACCCUCAAAGUAUUCGUACUAUGAGCGGCUUGGACUUGGAGGCUUGCCGGCGUUCGUCGUCGGCUCCUCUCAAAUGAAUUAGCUAUGGAUCGCGAUGUGGUAUGAUCUAAAGUGUGAUACAUGUCUACGCUGAAGAUCGAUCACGCAAGCCACCGUCUUUUUAAGAUAGCGCCUUCACGGGCCGUGUGGUUAGCGAAUACAGAGCUCCUAACCGUCCACCCCUGUGGACAACAAACCCCUGACAUCUGACCUCAAAUCAGGUAGGACUACCCGCUGAACUUAA